ACAUUAAGACUGAGACCUCCAAU
This 23-nucleotide non-coding RNA is filed under the name Cricetulus griseus (Chinese hamster). Lineage: Eukaryota; Metazoa; Chordata; Mammalia; Rodentia; Cricetidae. The record is from RNAcentral.